This 559-nucleotide ribosomal RNA is filed under the name uncultured bacterium. Its description in RNAcentral is "bacterial SSU rRNA". It matches the Rfam family "Bacterial small subunit ribosomal RNA", at positions 108 to 689 of the family's 1533-position model. The record is from RNAcentral.
GAGUAGCGCGUGGUUUACCUGCCCUGGAGUGGGGGAUAACCGAGGGAAACUUCGGCUAAUACCGCAUGCGCCCGGAGCAAUCCGGGGAAAGAUUUAUCGCUCUAGGAGGGGCCCGCGUCGGAUUAGCUAGUUGGUGGGGUAAUGGCCUACCAAGGCGAUGAUCCGUAGCUGGUCUGAGAGGAUGAUCAGCCACACUGGGACUGAGACACGGCCCAGACUCCUACGGGAGGCAGCAGUGGGGAAUAUUGGACAAUGGGCGAAAGCCUGAUCCAGCAAUGCCGCGUGAGUGAGGAAGGCCUUAGGGUUGUAAAGCUCUUUCGGCGGGGACGAUGAUGACGGUACCCGCAGAAGAAGCCCCGGCUAACUUUUUUGCCGCCAGCCGCGGUAAUACUACGGGGGCGAGCAGCGUUCGUUCGGAUUUACUGGGGCGUAAAGGGCGCGCAGGCGGUCGUGUUUGUCGAGUGUGAAAGCCCCGGGCUCAACCUGGGAAUUGCGCUCGAAACGGCGCGGCUAGAGUUCGGGAGAGGAGAGUGGAAUUCCCAGUGUAGAGGUGAAAUUC